CCUACGGGAGGCAGCAGUAAGGAAUAUUGGUCAAUGGACGCAAGUCUGAACCAGCCAUGCCGCGUGAAGGAUUAAGGCCCUCUGGGUUGUAAACUUCUUUUAUAGGGGACGAAAAAAGGGCAUUCUUGCUCACUUGACGGUACCCUAGGAAUAAGCACCGGCUAACUCCGUGCCAGCAGCCGCGGUAAUACGGAGGGUGCAAGCGUUAUCCGGAUUUACUGGGUUUAAAGGGUGCGUAGGUGGGUUGGUAAGUCAGUGGUGAAAUCUUCGAGCUUAACUCGGAAACUGCCAUUGAUACUAUCAAUCUUGAAUCAUCUAGAGGUAAGCGGAAUAUGUCAUGUAGCGGUGAAAUGCUUAGAUAUGACAUAGAACACCAAAUUGCGAAGGCAGCUUACUAUGGAUGCAUUGACACUGAGGCACGAAAAGCGUGGGGAUCAAACAGGAUUAGAUACCCUGGUAGUCCACGCCCUAAACGAUGGAUACUCGACAUUUGUGAUAUACAAUAAAGUGUCUGAGCGAAAAGCAUUAAGUAUCCCACCUGGGAAGUACGACCGCAAGGUUGAAACUUAAAGGAAAUUGACGG
This 583-nucleotide ribosomal RNA is filed under the name uncultured bacterium. RNAcentral's name for it is "bacterial SSU rRNA". It matches the Rfam family "Bacterial small subunit ribosomal RNA", at positions 338 to 916 of the family's 1533-position model. The record is from RNAcentral.